CUAGCGGCGUGCUUAACACAUGCAAGUCGAGCGGUAAGGCCCUUCGGGGUACACGAGCGGCGAACGGGUGAGUAACACGUGGGUGAUCUGCCUUGCACUUCGGGAUAAGCCUGGGAAACUGGGUCUAAUACCGGAUAUGACCUUUGGUUGCAUGACUGAGGGUGGAAAGAUUUAUCGGUGCGAGAUGGGCCCGCGGCCUAUCAGCUUGUUGGUGAGGUAACGGCUCACCAAGGCGACGACGGGUAGCCGACCUGAGAGGGUGACCGGCCACACUGGGACUGAGACACGGCCCAGACUCCUACGGGAGGCAGCAGUGGGGAAUAUUGCACAAUGGGCGAAAGCCUGAUGCAGCGACGCCGCGUGCGGGAUGACGGCCUUCGGGUUGUAAACCGCUUUUGACAGGGACGAAGCGCAAGUGACUGUACCUGUAGAAUAAGGACCGGCCAACUACGUGCCAGCAGCCGCGGUAAUACGUAGGGUCCGAGCGUUGUCCGGAAUUACUGGGCGUAAAGAGCUUGUAGGCGGUUCGUCGCGUCGUUUGUGAAAACUUGGGGCUCAACCUUAAGCUUGCAGGCGAUACGGGCGGACUAGAGUACUUCAGGGGAGACUGGAAUUCCUGGUGUAGCGGUGAAAUGCGCAGAUAUCAGGAGGAACACCGGUGGCGAAGGCGGGUCUCUGGGAAGUAACUGACGCUGAGAAGCGAAAGCAUGGGUAGCAAACAGGAUUAGAUACCCUGGUAGUCCAUGCCGUAAACGGUGGGUACUAGGUGUGGGGCUCCUUCCACGGACUCCGUGCCGUAGCUAACGCAUUAAGUACCCCGCCUGGGGAGUACGGCCGCAAGGCUAAAACUCAAAGAAAUUGACGGGGGCCCGCACAAGCGGCGGAGCAUGUGGAUUAAUUCGAUGCAACGCGAAGAACCUUACCUGGGUUUGACAUACACCAGAAACACGUAGAGAUACGUGC
This 963-nucleotide ribosomal RNA is filed under the name Nocardia ignorata. RNAcentral's name for it is "bacterial SSU rRNA". It matches the Rfam family "Bacterial small subunit ribosomal RNA", at positions 36 to 1013 of the family's 1533-position model. Lineage: Bacteria; Bacillati; Actinomycetota; Actinomycetes; Mycobacteriales; Nocardiaceae. The record is from RNAcentral.